GACGAACGCUGGCGGCGUGCUUAACACAUGCAAGUCGAACGGAAAGGCCCUGCUUUUGUGGGGUGCUCGAGUGGCGAACGGGUGAGUAACACGUGAGUAACCUGCACUUGACUUUGGGAUAACUUCAGGAAACUGGGGCUAAUACCGGAUAGGAGCUCCUGCUGCAUGGUGGGGGUUGGAAAGUUUCGGCGGUUGGGGAUGGACUCGCGGCUUAUCAGCUUGUUGGUGAGGUAGUGGCUUACCAAGGCUUUGACGGGUAGCCGGCCUGAGAGGGUGACCGGGCACAUUGGGACUGAGAUACGCACCAGACUCCUACGGGAGGCAGCAGUGGGGAAUAUUGCACAAUGGGCGGAAGCCUGAUGCAGCAACGCCGCGUGCGUGAUGACGGCCUUCGGGUUGUAAACCGCUUUCGCCGGUGACGAAGCGUGAGUGACGGUAAUGGGUAAAGAAGCACCGGCUAACUACGUG
RNAcentral lists this ribosomal RNA (468 nucleotides) under uncultured bacterium. Its description in RNAcentral is "partial 16S ribosomal RNA". It matches the Rfam family "Bacterial small subunit ribosomal RNA", at positions 28 to 507 of the family's 1533-position model. The record is from RNAcentral.